This 1563-nucleotide ribosomal RNA is filed under the name uncultured bacterium. RNAcentral describes it as "bacterial SSU rRNA". It matches the Rfam family "Bacterial small subunit ribosomal RNA". The record is from RNAcentral.
GGGCCCAUGUUGAAUUGAUGGAGCGGGCCGGAGACGCUUGCGGCGUGCCUAAGAAAUGCAAGUCGAGCGGUUCAGAAAGCAGAACCCAGAGUACAGAGUGCAGAGUUAAUGGAGUGGAGUAGUCUUCGCUGUUUUUUCUGCGUUUUGUAUUUUGCGUUCUGCCUUCUGGAUAGCGGCGAACGGUCGCGUAACACGUAGGCAACCUGCCCCGAAGACUGGGAUAGCCCAGCGAAAGUUGGAUUAAUACCGGAUGUGAAUGACAGAAGAUAUCUUUUGUUAUUUAAACGAGCAAUCGGCUUUGGGAUGGGCCUGCGGUCUAUCAGCUAGUUGGUGAGGUAACAGCUCACCAAGGCGACGACGGAUAGCUGGUCUGAGAGGAUGGUCAGCCGGACUGGGACUGAGAUACGGCCCAGACUCCUACGGGGGACAGCAAUUAGGAAUCUUGCGCAAUGGGGGCAACCCUGACGCAGCGACGCCGCGUGUGUGAUGAAGUCUUUCGGGAUGUAAGGCACUUUUGGCAGGGAAGAAGAAUGUGACGGUACCUGCAGAAUAAGCCCCGGCUAACUACGUGCCAGCAGCCGCGGUAAUACGUAGGGGGCAAGCGUUGUCCGAAGUUACUGGGCGUAAAGCGCGCGUAGGCGGUUCUUUAAGUUGAUUGUGAAAUCUUCACGGCUUAACCGGAAAACUGCGGUCAAGACUGGGGAACUGGAGAUUGGGAGAGGGAAGUGGAAUUCCUGGUGUAGCGGUGAAAUGCGUAGAUAUCAGGAGGAACACCCAUGGCGAAGGCAGCUUCCUGGCCCAAUUCUGACGCUGAGGUGCGAAAGCGUGGGUAGCGAACGGGAUUAGAUACCCCGGUAGUCCACGCCGUAAACGAUGGAUACUAGGUGUUAGAGGUAUCGACCCCUCUAGUGCCGGAGCUAACGCAUUAAGUAUCCCGCCUGGGGAGUACGGCCGCAAGGUUGAAACUCAAAGGAAUUGACGGGGGCCCGCACAAGCGGUGGAGCAUGUGGUUUAAUACGUCACUAACCGUAGAACCUUACCAGGGUUUGACAUCUGCCGACAGUCUAUGAAAGUAGAUUUUCUCCCACAAGGAGACGGCAAGACAGGUGUUGCAUGGCUGUCGUCAGCUCGUGUCGUGAGAUGUUGGGUUAAGUCCCGCAACGAGCGCAACCCUCAUCCGAUGUUGCCAGCGUAAAGUCGGGAACUCUUCGGAAACUGCCCGUGUAAGCGGGAGGAAGGUGGGGAUGACGUCAAGUCAGCAUGGCCCUUACAUCCUGGGCUACACACAUGCUACAAUGGCAGUUCACAGAGGGAUGCAAUACCGCGAGGUGGAGCAAAUCCCAGAAAUACUGUCUCAGUUCGGAUUGUAGUCUGCAACUCGACUACAUGAAGUCGGAAUCGCUAGUAACCGCAGGUCAGCUAAACUGCGGUGAAUACGUUCCCGGGCCUUGUACACACCGCCCGUCAAGUCACCUGAAUUGUCUGCACCCGAAGUCGAUGGCCGAACCCGCAAGGGACGGAGUCGCCGAAGGUGUGGGGAGUGAGGGGACUAAGUCUCUGUCG